Molecule: transfer RNA, 85 nt
Filed under: Candidatus Shapirobacteria bacterium CG_4_10_14_0_8_um_filter_39_15
Lineage: Bacteria; Candidatus Shapironibacteriota
Also listed under: 1 other name
Description: tRNA-Leu
Rfam family: tRNA
About the family: Transfer RNA (tRNA) molecules are approximately 80 nucleotides in length. Their secondary structure includes four short double-helical elements and three loops (D, anti-codon, and T loops).
Source: RNAcentral
GCCGAAGUGGCGGAAUUGGCAGACGCGCACGGUUCAGGGCCGUGUCUCGAAAGAGAUGUGAGUUCGAGUCUCACCUUCGGCACUA